Molecule: long non-coding RNA, 5220 nt
Filed under: Strigops habroptila (Kakapo)
Lineage: Eukaryota; Metazoa; Chordata; Aves; Psittaciformes; Psittacidae
Description: lncRNA (ENSSHBG00005008972.1)
Source: RNAcentral
UUUUUUUUAAACUUAGAAGAUAAAACAAAAAGGACUAAAGAAUUUUUGUCAUUAAAUGAAGCGAAAUGUCUGAAUCAUAGAAGGAACAACUACAUUGAAUGUUAAAUGUUAAACUUUCAGUGGAUAAAUGUAUAUUUCAUAUGUGUCAUUGUAGAGGGAUUUGUUCAUUGCCCCCAACAAAUUUUCUGCUGGUCUGUUAUUGAGACAUGCUUUAUUUCUGUAUUGCAUAUUUCAACUUCUUUAUAGAGGUAUGGUCUAAAAAUGAAUUUUCACUUGGUAGUGAAAAUAUCUUUGAAACUAUUUGACAUAUGAUGAAAUAUGGAAGGUUAUGCAAUGUUGCCUCUGUACAAGUGAUACUUCCAUUCCCAUUUCCUAUAUUAGAGAUGCAGAAUACAAAAAUAUUGAGACAAAUAUAGUUUUAGCACUUGUAUGUUUGCCAUAAGUUGCUUCAGAGCCCAAAUAUCUGUAUUUCCAUUACUUUCCAGUUGAUAGCUUAACACAGAUCUGACUGUCAGCAUUCCUUUUCUUUUGGUUGGUUUGUUGGGUUUUUUGUGGGUUUUUUUUAAGAGAAUCUAAUUCAAAGUCACAGUUUUAUACAAUUUUCAGCAUACAGUGCUUGAUGCUCAGUAUUGCUUGGUAAACAAAGUAUUGACUGUAGCAGUUGUUCAGUUUUUCUUCUUGAAAGUAUUGUUAGGAGUUACAACUUGCCAAAUUAAUGGUUAACCAGAGAAAAUACCGUGGUAGUCUCUUUCUACAUCUGUACUUCCAUUGUGGAUGAAAGCAGGAUAAAGAAGGAUGGUGGAAUAAAAUAAAUUCUUGAACUAGUGUUUAAGUGUCAGAAACUGUACCACAAAGGACCAUAAUUUCAAUGCUAUUCUUUUCAUCCCAGAGCUACUUUCUCUACUUUCAUUCUUACUGGACAUCAGUAGUAAAAUAACUAUAUAUAGGAGAAUAUAUUUUGCUGUUAAUCUGCUGAUUGACAGUUUAACCAAGUAUUUACAUGGUUCUCCAGGAAGACUUUGCAAUCACCUGGUUCUGGGAUGAGUGUGCUCACAGCAGAACCAAAGGUUCACUGCGGCUGGUGGAGCGUAGACCAGACUUCAUAGUGAAAUGAGAGAAGAACCAAGCCCUUGCUUUGUACUUGUCAGCAAAGUGCUGUUAGCACCUAAGUGGCUGUAGAAGUGAUAAUAUUUAGUGGGAAACUUUGUUCUGUACUCAUUUGGGAAAGGCACCUUAUUUUCUGAUUACUCCAUUGGAUGAGUAAAGGACAGCUUUUAAUGGGGUCAAAAAUGGUAAUCUAUUCACCUCAUCUGAUUUGGACGUGGUACAAGGCCACUGUAGGAAAGUGAGAUUCUGAGAGGUGUAUUAUAGAGGGGCCUGAAAACAGAAAGUCUCGUAACAUUGUUUAGUUCAUGUUCACUGAGAAAUAAUUAUCUUUCAUUUGUCUAGUGUGUCAUGGUGCUAUGCCUCUCUUGAUAUAUUCAUUGGCUUCAGAACAACAAACAUCAUCAAACCUAGUUUAGGGAUUUUUAUAGCUUUUGUUAAUCUGUUCUGUUAGGCAGACCUGAUGCAUGUAUUCAGAACAUUUAUGUUUGUUCUUCACCUUAUUAUUAUUUGCCAGUUUGCAGAACAUCACUUACCAAUUGAACCAACGUGAUAAUUGAAAGCUAAACUAUAUAUAUAGGAAAACUUUUAAAAGUAUAAUUACAGCUAGAGAAAUUACUGGUUAGCUGGUUAACUAGAAAGAUAUAAGAUUGCUGAGAUUUGCCGAAACAAUACAGCCUUCUCCUCCCUUAAGGAAAGUAAACAAAAAGACUUUAAAAUGUUCAUUUCUGUUGUCUGCAGAACAAGAUAUUACAGUAUUUGGUUUUCAUGUUUACUUUUUAUAUGUAAAAUUUGACCAUGUGUUGUACAAAGUUUAAUUUUACAAUUCUGUUAAUAAAGUACCCAAUCAUUCUAACUAAACUUUGCUACUGUUUUUGCUUUGCCAAUGGAACUGGCUUUAAUCAUCUGAUAAUCUGAUUGUGCUCUUCCCAUGCUACCCCAAAUAUAAUGGAAUUUAAGCACCAUAUGCCAUGGGAAUUAUAAAAACUAUGAGAGUUUGCAGAAGGAGAUCUUACUGAAUAUGAAUAGAAAUAUCAAAAUGCAGCACUGUGCAAUUAAAACCUUUUUUAACAUUAAAGCAUUUUUUCCCAUGCAAAUCAUAUUUUGGUCUUGUGUCAAGACAGCAUUUAUUUUACUUAAAAAAUAAAAGGAGGAAGGAAUGGGAAAGUUACCUUUUGCCAUUGUAAAAGCAGAACCAAACAUAUCUGGAACACAAUUAGACAGAAGAACUCUGUAAAAGUUCAUUUUUUGACUCUCUUGCAGCUCAUCAAUCCAAAUUACUGUUUUCCUUUAUUUAAAUAAUUCUAACAUACAGGUUCUUUGCCAUUGUUUAGUUGUAAAUCUAAUAAUAUGAUUGGAAUUGCUCAAUAAUCUUCUGUUUCAAGCUUUUCUUCAUUUCUGAUUCAUUGUAUCUAUUAUUAAACCCAGCUGUUGAUGUUUUUGAGCAAACUGAUUUCUGAAUUAUGCAUUGUGGUUCUAUAAUAACGCCACUUCUGAAUUAUCAUGGGCUGCUCCCAGUUUACUUUUAGAUAAUUAAAGGCUGUCUUUAUUUCUAUCCAAGUUGCCUGUUUUAUUUCCCAGAACACAAGGAUGUGAUUUCAUUCACGCUGCUCUAGGGGUCUGAAGUUGAUAAUCAUUUUUCUACAUCUGCCCUCAUCAGUGUCAUCUUCCGAUAUUUGAUGCUCCAGCAUUAUUCCUUAGCUUUGCUCAUUAGCAUUCACAGUGUUGGUGGUGUGUUGUGCUAGUCUGCCACAAGCCAUUCCCUAUUGUUUUCUUGAGAAGUCUGUAACUUCAUGCUGUGGAGUAGCCUUGCUUUCUGGAGUUCAUUCCUCUUUUUUACCAUUUGUUCAUGUAAGUGCUUUCCAUGUCAAAAUUUGCUGUGCCUUAAAAUCAUGCAUUAUUUAAAUAGACUAUAUAUGAAUGAAUGUAAAGAUCAUUUGAAUCAUUGUACUGUACCUCAUGUAUGGUGAACCUCCAUGAAACCUCCAAAUCCCCAUGACAAUUAAAAAGAAUUAUCUUGUUUAUCCCCACUAAGGUUCAUAAGAAAAGGGUAUUUUAGGCUCUUAAUAGUCUUUUUAAAAUUAGCGUUAAUCUCACUUUAUGAAAGUUGUAUUUAUUUCCUCUUAGCAAGAACAAGAAUUUUAAUCUGAUCCUACUGCUUUUUCUCUUGCCAAGGUGAAAUUCCUGGGACUUUUUCCACAGUUAAUAAUUGAGAUCUGUUUUCUUUCCUUAGGGAUUUUUUGAGGGGCUGCUUGUGGUACUUUUAAAUACAGUAGUAAAGCUGAGCAAUGGAUGGGGCAAAGAAUGAUCCUCACCUUGCUAAUAAGCAGGGUUAAUGAAGCAGAGUGAGAAUUCAAUGUACGAGAUGUGUGUAUUUGCUUAAAAAUGUAGUAGCAAGUUCUUCAGGUUAAUGCUUCCUUCACAGAACAGCUACUCUUACCUACUUAGUUUCACGUAACUGUGUAUGAGUGACAUCUUUGCACUGGUGGCAGCAUGUUAAGUUUCUGUUUACUUCAUUACUUUAUAUGCAGGACUUUAUUAUUCCUCAAGAGGCAGCACUGUUAAGAUGCUGUGUAAAAUCUUCAGACAAGUGCUGAGGUACUCUAACAAAAAAAUGUGUCUUAUUUAUGAUGUGUCAAAUUACUGUUCUGAGAGUAGACCUUUUAGGUUGCAUUCAGCCUUUAAUUUGACUGAAUUUAAAUAGCAUAAAAUGCCUUUUAGUUGGAACUUGGCUUGCAUAUUAUAUCUCUCAUUUCAAUGAAAAGCAUUCAGAUGCAAAUACGGUUUGUUUGGACUGAGUACAAAUGCCACUAUCAUGACUGAUGAAGGCUUUUGAUCACACAUCUACAAACUGAAACCUUAAAAGGGAAGAGGCUAUUUGGACUGGCAUCUGCAAUGCUGUAAAUUAUUUAGUUCCCAUUUUUCAUAAAUCUCUUUGAAGCGAGGGCUUAUGAGGUUUUUAAGGAGGAGUAGUCAUAGUUUUGUUGCCAGUUUCUAUUUAUGCUGUGACCGACUGCAUGUGCAAACUUACUCUAAUUGCAAGAGUUGUGCGGAAUAUGAAAGAGGUGCGUGUGUGAACUUCUCAGGAAUAGCCCAGAAAGGUUUCUUUGGUUUCCUAGGGUAAGAAUGGGGAUGCAGUUGUUGUUACUGUCUGGUUUGGUGUGCUCCUCUUGGUGCACACCUCCAAGAGGUGGGCAAGGCAAGAGUGUGUCCUUAUAACUUGGUGAGCUACCCAGCUGGCUGCUAGGGACCUGGCCUAAUCUCACAGAGCACAUGUACACAGCUGGGGUUGGUUCUGCUGCUCAUUCACUGAACUACAAAUCUUUUCUGGCUGUACUCCGACAGCAAAACAGCAAUAGCAACACCACCCCCCUUUUUGCAUUCUUUUACUCAGAAUCCUUUAUUGUGUGAUGGUUUUGCUACAAACGGGUGACAUUUCAAAACAUUUCUUCAAUUUCCAUCAAUGAUUGAAGCUAAGCACUAUAUGUAAGCACUAUUCUGCCAUAAAGGGGGUUUGCAUACUUGUUUAGCUCAUUGUAAUUGUGUAAUAAUGGUGUCUGGAUGAUGCCAGAGAUAUGAAGGAAUGAGUUAGUAAUACCCAAUAGUAAUUUGUCUAUCUGCCUUGCACUCUAGUUUAGGGUUUGGGUUUUUUUCCUUUUUUUUUUUUUUUUUCAGGAGGGUUUCAGUUUGCAUUACUGAAGAAUACCUUGGGUAAUUAUUUGCCUGGUAUAUGUUCUUCCAGGAUAUCAUAAAACUCACAUUAUGAAUCUAAAUACUAUAAAGAUUCAACAUGCAGUUGUUGUGCAGUUCAGAAAUGUACAACAUUCACAAAUAGUUUCGGUACUAUAACACUUUUUUCAUCACAGCAGGAAGAAGAAUAUUUUACUUAGCAGAAGUCAUAAUUAAGAGCUUUACCCAAAGAAUUGCAUCAUUUCCUGUAAACAGUCACUUUAACUGUGCUUAGUUUCUUUAAUUUCCUAAAAUAAUAAUAUUCAAAAUUUUCUGAAAAGUAUUCCAUGAAAGUGUUCUCAUCUUUCAUUUUCAAUUGGCUGUACACAUUACUCUAAUUUGAUUGCACUCAUCAUUCAAAUGUACCAAAACGCCUUAUGUAAAAGG